CUGCCAUUGCUCCAUAGUCCAGUUCUGAUGCUCAGUUCCCCAUUUAACGUGCUAUUGGCGGUGGACAAUCGGCAUCAUGGCCUCUCUGACAGGUCUGCAGCUACACAGCCCCAUAUACAGAAAACUUUGAUGCACUGUGUGUUCUGAGACCUUUCUAUCAUGACCUGCAUUCACUUUUUCAGCAAUUGGAGUUACAGUAGCUCUUCUGUGUGAUCCUACCAAAU
Pelobates cultripes (western spadefoot toad) is the source of this 224-nucleotide non-coding RNA. NCBI's taxonomy places the organism in Eukaryota, Metazoa, Chordata, Amphibia, Anura, Pelobatidae. The record is from the annotation of a GenBank genome assembly.